Molecule: ribosomal RNA, 722 nt
Filed under: uncultured archaeon
Lineage: Archaea
Description: bacterial SSU rRNA
Rfam family: Archaeal small subunit ribosomal RNA
Source: RNAcentral
UAAGGACGAGUCUGCGGCCUAUCAGGUAGUAGGUGGGGUAAAGGCCCCACAUAGCCUAUGACGGGUACGGGCACUGAGAGGUGUAGCCCGGAGAUGGGUUCUGAGACAUGAACCCAGGCCCUACGGGGCGCAGCAGGCGCGAAACCUUCGCAAUGCGCGCAAGCGCGACGAGGGGAACUCGAGUGCCAUUGCCAUUUUUGGUGAUGGCUUUUCUUGACCCUAAAAAGAUCAGGGAAUAAAAGCUGGGUAAGACGGGUGCCAGCCGCCGCGGUAAUACCCGCAGCUCGAGUGGUGGCCACUAUUAUUGAGCCUAAAGCGUCCGUAGCCGGUCUUGUAAAUCUCUGGGUAAAUCCUGCCGCUUAACGGUGGGAAUGCUGGAGAGACUGCAAGACUGGGGAUCGGGUGAGGUUGAAGGUACUUCUGGGGUAGGGGUAAAAUCCUGUAAUCCUGGAAGGACGACCGGUGGCGAAGGCGUUCAACUAGAACGGAUCCGACGGUGAGGAACGAUGGCUAGGGGAGCAAACCGGAUUAGAUACCCGGGUAGUCCUAGCUGUAAACACUGCCCACUUGGUGUUGCUUCUCCGAUUAAGGGGGAGCAGUGCCGGAGCGAAGGUGUUAAGUGGGCCGCUUGGGGAGUAUGGUCGCAAGGCUGAAACUUAAAGGAAUUGGCGGGAGAGCACCGCAACGGGAGGAGCGUGCGGUUUAAUUGGAUUCAACGCCGG